RNAcentral lists this ribosomal RNA (1201 nucleotides) under Salmonella enterica. RNAcentral describes it as "partial 23S ribosomal RNA". It matches the Rfam family "Bacterial large subunit ribosomal RNA", at positions 703 to 1884 of the family's 2925-position model. The record is from RNAcentral. Lineage: Bacteria; Pseudomonadati; Pseudomonadota; Gammaproteobacteria; Enterobacterales; Enterobacteriaceae.
CAGGGUAUAGACCCGAAACCCGGUGAUCUAGCCAUGGGCAGGUUGAAAGUUGGGUAACACUAACUGGAGGACCGAACCGACUAAUGUUGAAAAAUUAGCGGAUGACCUGUGGCUGGGGGUGAAAGGCCAAUCAAACCGGGAGAUAGCUGGUUCUCCCCGAAAGCUAUUUAGGUAGCGCCUCGUGAAUUCAUCUCCGGGGGUAGAGCACUGUUUCGGCUAGGGGGCCAUCCCGGCUUACCAACCCGAUGCAAACUGCGAAUACCGGAGAAUGUUAUCACGGGAGACACACGGCGGGUGCUAACGUCCGUCGUGAAGAGGGAAACAACCCAGACCGCCAGCUAAGGUCCCAAAGUCAUGGUUAAGUGGGAAACGAUGUGGGAAGGCCCAGACAGCCAGGAUGUUGGCUUAGAAGCAGCCAUCAUUUAAAGAAAGCGUAAUAGCUCACUGGUCGAGUCGGCCUGCGCGGAAGAUGUAACGGGGCUAAACCAUGCACCGAAGCUGCGGCAGCGACGCUGAUGCGUUGUUGGGUAGGGGAGCGUUCUGUAAGCCUGCGAAGGUGUGUCGUGAGGCAUGCUGGAGGUAUCAGAAGUGCGAAUGCUGACAUAAGUAACGAUAAAGCGGGUGAAAAGCCCGCUCGCCGGAAGACCAAGGGUUCCUGUCCAACGUUAAUCGGGGCAGGGUGAGUCGACCCCUAAGGCGAGGCCGAAAGGCGUAGUCGAUGGGAAACGGGUUAAUAUUCCCGUACUUGGUGUUACUGCGAAGGGGGGACGGAGAAGGCUAUGUUGGCCGGGCGACGGUUGUCCCGGUUUAAGCGUGUAGGUGUGUGUUCCAGGUAAAUCCGGUUCACUUUAACACUGAGGCGUGAUGACGAGGCACUACGGUGCUGAAGCAACAAAUGCCCUGCUUCCAGGAAAAGCCUCUAAGCAUCAGGUAACAUCAAAUCGUACCCCAAACCGACACAGGUGGUCAGGUAGAGAAUACCAAGGCGCUUGAGAGAACUCGGGUGAAGGAACUAGGCAAAAUGGUGCCGUAACUUCGGGAGAAGGCACGCUGACACGUAGGUGAAGUGAUUUACUCAUGGAGCUGAAGUCAGUCGAAGAUACCAGCUGGCUGCAACUGUUUAUUAAAAACACAGCACUGUGCAAACACGAAAGUGGACGUAUACGGUGUGACGCCUGCCCGGUGCCGGAAGGUUAAUUGA